Molecule: ribosomal RNA, 623 nt
Filed under: uncultured bacterium
Lineage: Bacteria
Description: partial 16S ribosomal RNA
Source: RNAcentral
GGUAUCUAAUCCUGUUCGCUCCCCACGCUUUCGUCCCUCAGCGUCAGUACAUACGUAGUAGACUGCCUUCGCAAUCGGUAUUCUGUGUAAUAUCUAUGCAUUUCACCGCUACACUACACAUUCUAUCUACUUCCAUAUGACUCAAGUCAACCAGUAUCAAAGGCAGUUCCAUAGUUGAGCUAUGGGAUUUCACCUCUGACUUAAUCGACCGCCUGCGGACCCUUUAAACCCAAUGAUUCCGGAUAACGCUCGGACCCUCCGUAUUACCGCGGCUGCUGGCACGGAGUUAGCCGGUCCUUAUUCUUACAGUACCGUCAAGCUGGUAUACAUACCAGUGUUUCUUCCUGUAUAAAAGUAGUUUACAACCCAUAGGGCAUUCUUCCUACACGCGGCAUGGCUGGAUCAGAGUCUCCUCCAUUGUCCAAUAUUCCUCACUGCUGCCUCCCGUAGGAGUCUGGUCCGUGUCUCAGUACCAGUGUGGGGGAUCUCCCUCUCAGGACCCCUACCUAUCGCUGUCUUGGUAAGCCGUUACCUUACCAACUAACUAAUAGGACGCAUAGCCAUCUUUUACCGAUAAAUCUUUAAUUAAAUAUUCAUGCGAAUACUCAAUACUAUGAGGCAUU